UACGUAGGGUGCAAGCGUUAAUCGGAAUCACUGGGCGUAAAGCGCACGUAGGCGGAUCUUUAAGUCAGGGGUGAAAUCCCAAGGCUCAACCUUGGAACUGCCUUUGAUACUGGGGAUCUCGAGUCCGGAAGAGGUGAGUGGAACUGCGAGUGUAGAGGUGAAAUUCGUAGAUAUUCGCAAGAACACCAGUGGCGAAGGCGGCUCACUGGUCCGGUACUGACGCUGAGGUGCGAAAGCGUGGGGAGCAAACAGG
This 253-nucleotide ribosomal RNA is filed under the name uncultured bacterium. Its description in RNAcentral is "partial 16S ribosomal RNA". It matches the Rfam family "Bacterial small subunit ribosomal RNA", at positions 524 to 776 of the family's 1533-position model. The record is from RNAcentral.